Molecule: long non-coding RNA, 716 nt
Filed under: Salmo salar (Atlantic salmon)
Lineage: Eukaryota; Metazoa; Chordata; Actinopteri; Salmoniformes; Salmonidae
Description: lncRNA (ENSSSAG00000090749.1)
Source: RNAcentral
GUGUGGGUAGAGUCCAGUGUGUGGGUAGAGUCCAGUGUGUGGGUAGAGUCCAGUGUGUGGGUAGAGUCCAGUGUGUGGGUAGAGUCCUGUGUGUGGAUAGAGUCCAGUGUGUGGGUAGAGUCCAGUGUGUGGGUAGAGUCCAGUGUGUGUGGGUAGAGUCCAGUGUGUGGGUAGAGUCCAGUGUGUGUGUAGAGUCCAGUGUGUGGGUAGAUCCAGUGUGUGGGUAGAGUCCAGUGUGUGGGUAGAGUCCUGUGUGUGGGUAGAGUCCAGUGUGUGGGUAGAGUCCAGUGUGUGGGUAGAGUCCAGUGUGUGGGUAGAGUCCAGUGUGUGGGUAGAGUCCAGUGUGUGGGUAGAGUCCAGUGUGUGGGUAGAGUCCAGUGUGUGGGUAGAGUCCAGUGUGUGGAUAGAGUCCAGUGUGUGGGUAGAGUCCAGUGUGUGGGUAGAGUCCAGUGUGUGGGUAGAGUCCAGUGUGUGGGUAGAGUCCAGUGUGUGGGUAGAGUCCAGUGUGUGGGUAGAGUCCAGUGUGUGGGUAGAGUCCAGUGUGUGGGUAGAGUCCAGUGUGUGGGUAGAGUCGAGUGUGUGAAUAGAGUCCAGUGUGUGGGUAGAGUCCAGUGUGUGGGUAGAGUCCAGUGUGUGGGUAGAGUCCAGUGUGUUGGUAGAGUCCAGUGUGUGGGUAGAGUCCAGUGUGUGGGUAGAGUCCAGUGUGUGAGUAGAGU